AUACAAGCCCUAGACACUGCCAUCUUAUUCCACGGGUACUAUUUAUGACUCGGUCAUCUUGUUUUAUUUCAUAGUGUGCUAAUCGUUCAUGUUUUGUACUCAUAACACGUCGUCAGAGCAGAAACGGGUCUUGAUGACAACCUUUGGCAUCUGUUUAUGCAAAGAUCAAGUGUAGAAGAAGCUGAGAGUGCUUUUCUGUUGUGUAGCAAAAUAAAUAAACGAUGGUCAAAUGAA
Molecule: long non-coding RNA, 234 nt
Organism: Carassius carassius (crucian carp)
Lineage: Eukaryota; Metazoa; Chordata; Actinopteri; Cypriniformes; Cyprinidae
Exons: 2
Source: RefSeq, a predicted model, not a curated record